AGCGGACAGAAGGGAGCUUGCUCCCGGAUGUUAGCGGCGGACGGGUGAGUAACACGUGGGUAACCUGCCUGUAAGACUGGGAUAACUCCGGGAAACCGGAGCUAAUACCGGAUAGUUCCUUGAACCGCAUGGUUCAAGGAUGAAAGACGGUUUCGGCUGUCACUUACAGAUGGACCCGCGGCGCAUUAGCUAGUUGGUGAGGUAACGGCUCACCAAGGCAACGAUGCGUAGCCGACCUGAGAGGGUGAUCGGCCACACUGGGACUGAGACACGGCCCAGACUCCUACGGGAGGCAGCAGUAGGGAAUCUUCCGCAAUGGACGAAAGUCUGACGGAGCAACGCCGCGUGAGUGAUGAAGGUUUUCGGAUCGUAAAGCUCUGUUGUUAGGGAAGAACAAGUGCAAGAGUAACUGCUUGCACCUUGACGGUACCUAACCAGAAAGCCACGGCUAACUACGUGCCAGCAGCCGCGGUAAUACGUAGGUGGCAAGCGUUGUCCGGAAUUAUUGGGCGUAAAGGGCUCGCAGGCGGUUUCUUAAGUCUGAUGUGAAAGCCCCCGGCUCAACCGGGGAGGGUCAUUGGAAACUGGGAAACUUGAGUGCAGAAGAGGAGAGUGGAAUUCCACGUGUAGCGGUGAAAUGCGUAGAGAUGUGGAGGAACACCAGUGGCGAAGGCGACUCUCUGGUCUGUAACUGACGCUGAGGAGCGAAAGCGUGGGGAGCGAACAGGAUUAGAUACCCUGGUAGUCCACGCCGUAACGAUGAGUGCUAAGUGUUAGGGGGUUUCCGCCCCUUAGUGCUGCAGCUAACGCAUUAAGCACUCCGCCUGGGGAGUACGGUCGCAAGACUGAAACUCAAAGGAAUUGACGGGGGCCCGCACAAGCGGUGGAGCAUGUGGU
This 897-nucleotide ribosomal RNA is filed under the name Bacillus pumilus. RNAcentral's name for it is "bacterial SSU rRNA". It matches the Rfam family "Bacterial small subunit ribosomal RNA", at positions 65 to 945 of the family's 1533-position model. The record is from RNAcentral. Lineage: Bacteria; Bacillati; Bacillota; Bacilli; Caryophanales; Bacillaceae.